RNAcentral lists this ribosomal RNA (332 nucleotides) under uncultured Acidobacteriota bacterium. Its description in RNAcentral is "bacterial SSU rRNA". It matches the Rfam family "Bacterial small subunit ribosomal RNA", at positions 568 to 898 of the family's 1533-position model. Lineage: Bacteria; Pseudomonadati; Acidobacteriota. The record is from RNAcentral.
UUCGUAGGUGGCCCGCCAAGUCAGACGUGAAAUCCCUCAGCUUAACUGGGGAACUGCGUCUGAGACUGGCGGGCUUGAGGGUCGGAGAGGAACGCGGAAUUCCAGGUGUAGCGGUGAAAUGCGUAGAUAUCUGGAGGAACACCGGUGGCGAAGGCGGCGUUCUGGACGACUUCUGACACUGAGGAACGAAAGCCAGGGGAGCAAACGGGAUUAGAUACCCCGGUAGUCCUGGCCCUAAACGAUGAAUGCUUGGUGUGGUGGGUAUCGAUCCCUGCCGUGCCGUAGUUAACGCGUUAAGCAUUCCGCCUGGGGAGUACGGUCGCAAGGCUGAA